GCUGUUGCAGAGGCAGCCAACUGCUCCAUAUUUGGCUUCUAUUACCCAUUUACAUGCUGGAGAGCGGAGAGGGAGCGAGCGCUGUACCGCAGACAUCAUUUCUACUACAGUGGUGGAGACAUCCCGGACCUGUGUCACUGCAGGGGGAAGGAAAAAAGCCAAACAAACAAAAAGCAGACCCAAGCCCCGUGAUCAGCUAGGAAGACAUUUGUGUGCGAGUCUCUCUCUGACCCCCCCACCCCCGCCAACCCCACCUCCACUGACACUUUACAUCACAUUGCAGGCCAAGCCAGAUGGGCAAGCAAUACAAGCUGUGAAUUUAUUCUUGACCCCGUAGGACAGUGACCACCAUCAGUUUUUUCUUCACCCUACAGUUAUGCACUGCCAAUAAGUGAAAAGGUCACGAGAAGCAGUAGCUGAAUUUUUCUGAAGUGCUUUACAGCAGGGAAAGUGGGGGAACCUCUUAAAGUGGUGUCU
Molecule: long non-coding RNA, 477 nt
Organism: Melozone crissalis (California towhee)
Lineage: Eukaryota; Metazoa; Chordata; Aves; Passeriformes; Passerellidae
Exons: 3
Source: RefSeq, a predicted model, not a curated record